AUCUCUAAUGCCUCCUUCAGGUGAAAAGUCUUGUAGGAGAGGAGCUCUUUCACAGAUAUGAUUGUCUUCUCCUACAGUCUACCCUGGACUUCAUGCCUGACAUCACGUAUUGUCCUCGGCUCACUUGCGGUUCUGCUGUGAUUCUGGAGAAGUCCAGCCUUGCAGCAAUGUGCUCUGUCUGCAGCUAUGCUUUCUGCGCAAACUGCAACACAUACCAUAGAACAAACAAAUGCUACGAAGAACCUAAAGAACCUCACAAACCUGAAGAGACGAGUUUUUAUUUCAGAGAGCAUCAUUUAAUCCACUAUUGCCUAUGAGAAAACAAUGUUAAAAAAUUAAAUUUUUUCUUUGAAACCAUGAAUAAAUGUUAAAAAAAAUUAUCACAAUAGGAAAUAUUUAAGUGCACCACUUAUACCCCAACGCCUCUGCAGAAAUAAUAAAAUUCCCUAAAUUCCCAACAUUUAACAGAAAUUUAUAACAGAGGUGAAACAAAACUACAUCAAGAUCAACAUGUAUUAAAAAAUAAAACAAAUACAAAAAUGGCUUA
Poecilia latipinna (sailfin molly) is the source of this 547-nucleotide long non-coding RNA. RefSeq lists it as uncharacterized. The transcript has 2 exons. NCBI's taxonomy places the organism in Eukaryota, Metazoa, Chordata, Actinopteri, Cyprinodontiformes, Poeciliidae. The record is from RefSeq and is a predicted model, not a curated record.